RNAcentral lists this long non-coding RNA (5781 nucleotides) under Panax ginseng (ginseng). RNAcentral's name for it is "long non-coding RNA (PGIN_LNC018180)". The record is from RNAcentral. Lineage: Eukaryota; Viridiplantae; Streptophyta; Magnoliopsida; Apiales; Araliaceae.
ACCUGAGUUUUUGAAAGCAUGUAGGCCCAUGGAAGAGGUGGCUGCUGCCGAGGUUAGGAAAUAAACUGCCGGAAUAUUGUGAGACGAAGCGAUUUCCGGUGCCCAUGAGGGAUUGAAAUCAUAAAUAAGCAAAUCAGGGUUUAAGGUUUUAAGGAUUUCAGAGAAGGUGGGGGCUGCUGUUUCAAAGGCGUUUCUGAGUGGGACCAUGAGAUGGGAAGGGAGGCCAUUUGUGGUGUGGUAGUGAGGGGGAAGAUCAGGGGAAGAGGGAAGAUGAAGCUCUACUAGUUUUAUAGAAGCAGAGGAAUCCUUAUCAGAUACUCUGUUCUUGAUGGAGCUAAGAUUGAUUGGGGUAGAACAGAGGAAUAUAUUACAAUUUCUUUUUGAGAGAUGCUUGGCUAGCUCAAAGAAUGGAGAAAUGUGGCCAUGGGCUAAAAAUGGCAGCAUAACUAUACUGAUUCUACCUUUUUCGAUAUCCAUGAUGAACUCUGUUUUUCUUACUAAAUAAAUUUCUCUCACCCCUCUCUACUGAUUUCAUUAGCGAAGGUGGGGUGUACUAUAUAUAAAAUAGUUAUAUUACUAUUAUACUCCGUCCGUCCCUUCCUUAUUAUUAUUUUGGGUAAUCUCAUGUUAAAUGUCUAUUUUUUUUAAUAACUAAAUUUUUACACAUUUCUUCCUAUUAUACCCAUAGCAUUAAAUAUUUUAUAUUUUUAUUAUUCUAAUUCUCUCCAUAUUUAUUAAGCAUAAUUAGUUAUGUGCUGAAAAUAUUUUGAAUUGAAAAGUUAGAAAAUUACUCUCUCACCUCCAUUGAAAAUAAUUAAAGACAUAUUAUUAUGAGUAAUUUUAUUAUUUUAUUCCUCUUUUUAAUAUGCGGAUUUUUAUCCUGGACGGAGGGAGUAAUAUACGGCGUGUAAUCAAUCACACGCGUACUGAGUGACGUAUGUAGUUUGUAUCGUUAUUGGGCGAUGAAAUUAAUGACAUUGUUGGCUGCAAAAAGAUGAAUAAGAUAUGUUGAGAUAGAAAAUAGGAAAAAUUAAUAAUAAUUUUUUUAAAACUAUCCCUUAUUAUUCUGUUUAUUUUUUUAAUAUUUUAAACUCUUUCUCUCUUUUUAUCCUAACAAAAGAUUUAAGAGUAUUAUAGACAAUUGAGUAUUAUUAUAUUUAAUAUUUUUUAAUCAUUAUUUUAAUUCUUAUGUCCACUUUUAAAUAGGAAAUAGUAAUUUUCCUAUUAAGAGUACUACUCCAUAAUUUUAUUAUUGUUAUUAAUUAAGCUCAUUAAAUGAUAAUACUUAUUCUUUGCCUUGUGUACUUAUCCUUCUAUGCAGAUAGAGAAUAAUAGGAUCGGUCGGAAUAACAAAAAGCACCAAUAAUUUAUUUAUUCGUUGGAAUAAAAUUCUUUUAUCAAUUUUCUAUUUUUAAUGAUCGUCAUUUUUUAUGCAAAUGUCACUUGUGUUGGCUAACGGACAACUUGCUUAAGCUAAAAUAAGUAAAUAACGAGUGCCGUCCAAAGUUUUGCCUCUUUUUUAAUCAUUUUUUAUUAGUAUUAUUGGAUGCCCAUUUUUUAAAUUUAUUGCUGAUGUUACUACGCAUUUUGAAAAGUUAAAGCAUGCACCUUUUCGCCGAAGGCUUUUAUUUUUUUUUAGAUAUUUUUGCAUUAAAAAAAUAAUAUUUUUAUAUCAAAAUUUAUAACGAUAUUUUUUAUGUAAAAAUAUUACAAAAUAUUAUGAAAAUAUCAAUUUAUUUAAAAAAAUGACAAAAUAUUAAUGGCAAACUGCAAGUAUAAUUUUAUACUAGAUGGUUUAAUAUUACAAUGUAUACAUUUCUAAAUAUUAUAUUGUCCGAUUCUAAAUAAGUGAUACAUUUUAAUUUUUUAGAGUCAAUUUAUAAAAUUUUAAAUUUUAAAAUUAAUAUAAUCUGGUUCAAGUUUUAAAAAUAGUAAAGAUAAUAUUUUAUACUUAUUUUAUAAUUAUUAUUUUUAUUUGUACUAAAACUAAAUCAUUUCAUAUCAAUUUUAAAAUUUUAUAAACCGAUUUUAAAAAAAUCAAAACAUUUCUCUUAUUUUAAAAUGAAUUGAGUAUAAGUUGGUCAAAAGUUGGUUGGUUAUGGGUCAUGUUCACAAGUAUAUAAGAAUAUUACUAUAAACAUGACUUUAAGACUUGGUUGUUACGGAAAAAUGUUGUCCUCUAUCCUCAAAAGACGGUCUUUAAUUUACAAAAUAUUUUAUUUCUAAAAAAUAUAUUUUAAAUAUACAAGUUAAAAAUAAAAUAAUUAUAAGACUAAUUUACCCUAAAAAAUAUAUUAAAAUAAGAUCCACUAAAUUUAAAGAGACAAACAUUUAUUAGUAUAAUAGAAUGGAGUUCACCAUGAACAAGAUUGAUAUUUAUUUUAUACUAAUUCCACUCUUUUAAGUUUCAAUUAUCUAAUACCCCCAUCAAAGAAAUCAAAACAAAAUUGAAAGAGAGGAAAUUAAUGGAGCCCUUUUCAAUGUUUUAAUUCUCGUGUUAUGUUUGGAUUGAAAAAUUAAAAUUAGUAAAAGAAUGGAAUAGAGAAGAUAAUAAAAUGGAAUAGAAAGUGAAAAAAUUUAUUUCAUUUCAGCUAAAAUGAUUCAUUUCAUUUUAAUGAACAACCAAACACGAGUUAUUCUAUUUUCACCUUUAUUUCUCUAAUCUACAAAAGUUUUUUAUUUAUUUAUAAUUAAUAACUUAUGAAAUGACACAAUAUUCUAACUAUAGGUAUCAUAAUUUAUUAUCAAACUAACGAUGUUUUUUUUGUUUGGGCAAAUGAACAGAGAUAAAAUUCAAGUAUAUAACAAGUUAAAGAGGAGAUAAAUUAAUUUGUAAGAAUAAUUUGAUUAUUAAUUUAUAAUUUUUAAAUAUAAUGAGUAUAAUCAUAUAUACAUGCACCCAUUAUUAUUUACCAAAAAACAUUCUCAUUAAUUGAUUAAAUUUUUUUUCACUUUAAAUAUACUCCAAAAGGAAUAUAAGCUAUAUUGGUACAUGAAUAAUACUAGAUCCCUAAAGUAUUAUAUUUUCAUCAACUAAAAACCUAUUUUAGAUUGACAAUAAACUAGAAUUCUGACAUAUAAUUCAAUUACUAUCAUUUAUAAAAAUCACCAAUCAAAUAAUUAUUCUAGAGUCCUAGCUAAAGUAAAUGUACACUACAUUUAAUUAUUUAUCUUAAAAUUCACCGAAAUAAACUUACAAUAUAUAAUUCAAUUAUUCAUCUAACUAGAUAAAAAUUUAAUAAAUCAAUAUUAUUUUCUCAAAAUUCUAAUAUAUCAUAUUUAUACUAAGAAUAAAGAAACUUUUACACAUCCGGUCGAAGUUCACACAAUUUAAAUAGAAUAUAUAUAUAUAUAUAUAUAUAUAUAUAUAUAUUCAAUAACAAUAACAACAACAACAAUAAUAAUAAUAAUAAUAAUUUUAAAAAAAAACUAACAAUUGAAUUAAUUAAAUGGAACAUUAAAUUAGUAAAUAAUUGUGAAAAACAAUGAACCUAAAUUGAAAUGAAUUACAAUCGCCAAAAAAAAGAGAAAAAAGAAAGAUAACUUUUUUUUUUAUUAUUAUAUUCAACUGAAAUUUAUUAUUUCUGUCUUUUGACAAAAAUAGAUCCCAAACCUCAUGCACUCAAGCCUAAUCAAUAAAUUUUUUAACCAUUGAACCAUGGUAUGAAAGAUAACUCGUGACUCACACAGGUUCCAAGCUUGUAUAUGUUAAACUUCAUGUGACUGAAAAAACUAAUCAACUGCAAUCAUAACUAGGAGUCGUUUCAGGGUGUUGGAGUGUGGUUUGAUGGGUUCGGGGGAAUGGAAGGGUCACAGUUGAUCUAUAAAUCCCUUGUUUUAAUUAGCUUAAUUCUUCUUUUUGAAGAAGUCAAAUCUGGACUUACAAUUAUAAGGACCAUCAACAUAGGAUUGUUCAUUGUGCAUGUUUAAGUUCAUUAAUUGGUGAUUUAAUAAGCGGAUAAAUUUCGACGUUAACACAAGAUAUGAAAUUCAAUGAGACGAGAGAAGGCUUUCCUCCCAUACGUGGACCUACUUGAGAUGAGCAGAAUAUGUCUGAGCAACUUUGUCAGAUCAGGAAUCUGUUAAAUUUUGCCUCGGUUAGGCUAGCUGUAAGACAGACAUCAUCACAGAGAGGUUAAAGAGUAGCUAGCUGAGAAAAAAUCUGUUCUUUCACGUACAAUAUACUUGGCAAGACAUUGUAGACUUUUAGCAGAGCUUAAUUUAGUUUUAUUACAUACCAAACCAAUGAAAAUCAACCAUUCCUUGGUUUAGUACAAAAACCACUUGAAUUAUAGCAUACAAAGAAAGAGUUCAAAACCCAACCUAAGCGCAUUCAAAAUUAGUACUACUACUAUUACUAUUGUGCAUCUUUCUUCUUCUUACAAAUUUGUACUAGCUCCUCCACUGCCCUAUCAAUCUCUUCCUCUCCUUUCUCUUUCAUUUUCUCACUCAAUUCCCUUGCUUUCCUCCUCAUAACCUCCCCACUUUUCUCCACAACGACUUUUCUUAUUACCUCUGCAAUCCCUUCUCUCUUAUACUUCCCAUUUUCAUCUCUCACAACCUCCAUGCCCACACCAACCUCCGCCGCCAGCUUACCAUUCAAAGGCUGAUCAAGAUGCCUGGCCAUGGCAAUUACUGGAACCCCAAACUUCAUACUCUCCGCAAUAGAACUCCACCCACAAUGGCUCACAAACCCACCGGUGCUUGAAUGUCCUAAAAUUCUUGCCUGUGGAGCCCACCCCUCCACAACCAAUCCUCUGUCUCCUACCCUUUGAACAAAUCCCUCUGGUAAAACCCCUUUUUUCUCUCCUUCAAUUAAUCUCACAGCCCAUAUGAAAUUAACCAUGCUAAUCUCUAGCCCAAUUGCUACUUCUUCCAAUUCCUCAUUGGAGAGAAAAUACUCACUUCCAAAGCAGACAAACACCACUGUAGAUUCAGCCCUUUUGUCAAGCCAGUUUAUAAUCUGCUCUGUUUUUGGAUCUUCAUUAUGGCCCAUAGGAUCUUGAACGAGUGGACCAACAGGAACCAAAGUUUUAUCAGAUAAAGUGGAAAGCAAAUCGAUAUAUUUCCCUUCUAGUUCUAUAAAACUCUUAAUCAAAAUAAUGUCGCAAGAUCGUUCGAAACAAGCGAUAAAAUCAUGAAGUAGCUUCAUGUUAUCUGCAGAAGGUGGUUCAGGGGUAUUAUUACUGUUAUCAUAAAAAUCUGGAAAUGGGUAUUUUUCACCUGGGUUUUUGAAAGCAUGUAGGCCAAUGGAAGAGCUGGCUGCUGCCGUGGUUAGGAAAUAAACUGCCGGAAUAUUGUGAGACGAAGCGAUCUCCGGUGCCCAUGAGGGAUUGAAAUCAUAAAUAAGCAAAUCGGGGUUUAAGGUUUUAAGGAUUUCAGAGAAGGUGGGGCCUGCUGUUUCAAAGGCGUUUAUGAGUGGGACCAUGAGAUGGGAAGGGAGGCCAUUUGUGGUGUGAUAGUGAGGAGGAAGAUCAGGGGAAGAUGGAAGAUGAAGCUCAACUAGUUUUAUAGAAGCAGAGGAAUCCUUAUUCUUGAUGGAGCUAAGAUUGAUUGGGGUAGAACAGAGGAAAACAUUGCAAUUUCUUUUUGCGAGUUGUUUGGCUAGCUCAAAGAAGGGAGAUAUGUGACCAUGGGCUAAAAAUGGUAGCAACGCUAUACUGAUUCUACCUUCUUGGUUAUCCAUGAAUGAACUCUGUUUGUUUCUCUCUCUCUUGCUGUAUAAUUUCAUUAGCCAAGGGUGUGUAUAUAAAUAAAAGAGUAAAAUAUAUUGACACCCCC